GCCGAAGUGGUGAAAUUGGUAGACACGCCAUCUUGAGGGGGUGGUGAGCUUUCGCUCGUGGAGGUUCGAGUCCUCUCUUCGGCACCA
RNAcentral lists this transfer RNA (87 nucleotides) under Gammaproteobacteria bacterium. RNAcentral describes it as "tRNA-Leu". It matches the Rfam family "tRNA". From Rfam's summary of the family: Transfer RNA (tRNA) molecules are approximately 80 nucleotides in length. Their secondary structure includes four short double-helical elements and three loops (D, anti-codon, and T loops). Lineage: Bacteria; Pseudomonadati; Pseudomonadota; Gammaproteobacteria. The record is from RNAcentral.